AGAGUUUGAUCCUGGCUCAGGAUGAACGCUAGCGGCAGGCUUAAUACAUGCAAGUCGAGGGGCAGCACGGGUAGCAAUACCUGGUGGCGACCGGCAAACGGGUGCGGAACACGUACGCAACCUUCCUUUAAGUGGGGAAUAGCCCAGGGAAACUUGGAUUAAUACCCCUUAAUAUUAUUGAGUGGCAUCACUUGAUAAUUAAAGCUCCGGCGCUUAAAGAUGGGCGUGCGCCUGAUUAGGUAGUUGGCGGGGUAACAGCCCACCAAGCCUACGAUCAGUAACUGGUGUGAGAGCACGACCAGUCACACGGGCACUGAGACACGGGCCCGACUCCUACGGGAGGCAGCAGUAAGGAAUAUUGGUCAAUGGACGCAAGUCUGAACCAGCCAUGCCGCGUGGAGGAUGACGGCCCUCUGGGUUGUAAACUCCUUUUAUCUGGGAAGAAAUGCAGAUUUUCUAAUCUGUUUGACGGUACCAGAGGAAUAAGCACCGGCUAACUCCGUGCCAGCAGCCGCGGUAAUACGGAGGGUGCAAGCGUUAUCCGGAUUCACUGGGUUUAAAGGGUGCGUAGGUGGAGUGGUAAGUCAGUGGUGAAAUCUCCAAGCUUAACUUGGAAACUGCCGUUGAUACUAUUAUUCUUGAAUAUCGUGGAGGUAAGCGGAAUAUGUCAUGUAGCGGUGAAAUGCUUAGAUAUGACAUAGAACACCGAUUGCGAAGGCAGCUUACUACACGAUCAUUGACACUGAGGCACGAAAGCGUGGGGAGCAAACAGGAUUAGAUACCCUAGUAGUCC
Molecule: ribosomal RNA, 793 nt
Filed under: uncultured bacterium
Lineage: Bacteria
Description: bacterial SSU rRNA
Rfam family: Bacterial small subunit ribosomal RNA
Source: RNAcentral